GUCUCAGUUCGGAUUGGAGUCUGCAACCCGACUCCAUGAAGCUGGAUUCGCUAGUAAUCGCGCAUCAGCCACGGCGCGGUGAAUACGUUCCCGGGCCUUGUACACACCGCCCGUCAAGCCAUGGGAGCCGGGGGUGCUUGAAGUGCGUCGCCGCAAGGCGCGCCCUAGAGCAAAACCGGUGACUGGGGCUAAGUCGUAACAAGGUAGC
This 208-nucleotide ribosomal RNA is filed under the name uncultured bacterium. RNAcentral describes it as "partial 16S ribosomal RNA". It matches the Rfam family "Bacterial small subunit ribosomal RNA", at positions 1285 to 1500 of the family's 1533-position model. The record is from RNAcentral.